This 1356-nucleotide ribosomal RNA is filed under the name Pectobacterium cacticida. Its description in RNAcentral is "bacterial SSU rRNA". It matches the Rfam family "Bacterial small subunit ribosomal RNA", at positions 73 to 1421 of the family's 1533-position model. Lineage: Bacteria; Pseudomonadati; Pseudomonadota; Gammaproteobacteria; Enterobacterales; Pectobacteriaceae. The record is from RNAcentral.
AGAGAGCUUGCUCUCGGGUGACGAGCGGCGGACGGGUGAGUAAUGUCUGGGAAACUGCCUGAUGGAGGGGGAUAACUACUGGAAACGGUAGCUAAUACCGCAUAAUGUCGCAAGACCAAAGAGGGGGACCUUAGGGCCUCUUGCCAUCGGAUGUGCCCAGAUGGGAUUAGCUAGUAGGUGAGGUAAAGGCUCACCUAGGCGACGAUCCCUAGCUGGUCUGAGAGGAUGACCAGCCACACUGGAACUGAGACACGGUCCAGACUCCUACGGGAGGCAGCAGUGGGGAAUAUUGCACAAUGGGCGCAAGCCUGAUGCAGCCAUGCCGCGUGUGUGAAGAAGGCCUUCGGGUUGUAAAGCACUUUCAGCGGGGAGGAAGGCGUGAGAGCGAAUACCUUUCAUGAUUGACGUUACCCGCAGAAGAAGCACCGGCUAACUCCGUGCCNAGCAGCCGCGGUAAUACGGAGGGUGCNAAGCGUUAAUCGGAAUGACUGGGCGUAAAGCGCACGCAGGCGGUUUGUUAAGUUGGAUGUGAAAUCCCCGGGCUUAACCUGGGAACUGCAUUCAAAACUGACAGGCUAGAGUCUUGUAGAGGGGGGUAGAAUUCCAGGUGUAGCGGUGAAAUGCGUAGAGAUCUGGAGGAAUACCGGUGGCGAAGGCGGCCCCCUGGACAAAGACUGACGCUCAGGUGCGAAAGCGUGGGGAGCAAACAGGAUUAGAUACCCUGGUAGUCCACGCUGUAAACGAUGUCGACUUGGAGGUUGUGCCCUAGAGGCGUGGCUUCCGGAGCUAACGCGUUAAGUCGACCGCCUGGGGAGUACGGCCGCAAGGUUAAAACUCAAAUGAAUUGACGGGGGCCCGCACAAGCGGUGGAGCAUGUGGUUUANUUCGAUGCAACGCGAAGAACCUUACCUACUCUUGACAUCCACAGAANUNNGUUAGAGAUACAUUAGUGCCUUCGGAAACUGUGAGACAGGUGCUGCAUGGCUGUCGUCAGCUCGUGUUGUGAAAUGUUGGGUUAAGUCCCGCAACGAGCGCAACCCUUAUCCUUUGUUGCCAGCGAUUAGGUCGGGAACUCAAAGGAGACUGCCGGUGAUAAACCGGAGGAAGGUGGGGAUGACGUCAAGUCAUCAUGGCCCUUACGAGUAGGGCUACACACGUGCUACAAUGGCGUAUACAAAGAGAAGCGAGCCUGCGAGGGUGAGCGGACCUCAUAAAGUACGUCGUAGUCCGGAUUGGAGUCUGCAACUCGACUCCAUGAAGUCGGAAUCGCUAGUAAUCGUAGAUCAGAAUGCUACGGUGAAUACGUUCCCGGGCCUUGUACACACCGCCCGUCACACCAUGGGAGUGGGUUGCAAA